AAAAAUGAUUCAUCCACAGUGAAGCCACAUGACAGCACAUUGUUGACGCCUCAAACUGCAAUGCAACCUGUUCACGAAUCAACUAGUGACCGAUCAAAUACAACUGACUCAAAGAAGUCGCAGGUUUGUAACUCCAAGCAACUAAAGAUACAUGCUUUCAAUCGGAUUUUAUGACUUUUUGUUUCUCUAGUAACAUGUUCUCUCAUGAUUUGUGGAAUCAAAAUUGUAAUUAAAAUUAAAACGAUUUGACUGAUGCUUACAUUUCAUAUAACAGAAACAAUGUAUGCCUCCAGAGAAGUCCACCGAGGAAGCCAACAUCGUACUGACUGAGCAAGCUGAAGAAAUUGGAGAUUUAUCACAAAAAGUGAGAGAAGCAACUUCGGAAUUGAAAAAACAAGCUGAGGAAAUUGGAAAAGUAUAUGAAAAAGCAAAAGAAGCUGCUGCAGAACUUAAAAAACCAGCUGAAGAAACAGGAAUUUUGUCACAAAAGGCAACGGAGGAGGCUACUUUAGACUUGAAAAAAUCAGCCGAAGAAAUUGGGAGCGCGACACAAAAAGCAAGAGAGGUUGUUGCUGAGUUGAAAAAGCCAACUGAAGAAAUUGUAAAUGUGUCACAAAGGGCAACAGAAGCUGCUGCAGAAUUGAUAAAACCAGCUGAAGCAAUCAAACAUAGUUCGGAAAAGGCCACAAAGGUUGAUGCAGAUUUGAAGCAACCAGUUGAAGCUACAUCCAAUGAAUCACAAAAAGCAACAAAAGCUGCUACGCAGUCGAAAAUACCUGUUGAGGAAGUUGAAGAUGUAUCGGCAAAAGCAACAAAGGUUGGUGCAGACAUAAACAAACCUGUUGAAAAAAUAGGAAAUAUAUCACAAAAAACAACAGAAGCUGCUUUAGAAUUGAAAAAACCGAGCGAUGAAAUUGGAAGUGCAUCAACAAAAGAAGCCAGGGCUCCUGCAGAGGUGAAAAAACCGGCUCAAGAAAUUGGAAAUGUGUCACAAAAAGCAACAGAGGUUCCGGUGCAACUGAAAAUACCAUCUGAAGAAGUUGGAAGUAUAUCUCAGAAAGCAAGUGAUGCUCCUGCAAAAUUGAAACAUC
RNAcentral lists this long non-coding RNA (1091 nucleotides) under Malus domestica (apple). RNAcentral's name for it is "long non-coding RNA (MDOM_LNC002449)". Lineage: Eukaryota; Viridiplantae; Streptophyta; Magnoliopsida; Rosales; Rosaceae. The record is from RNAcentral.